RNAcentral lists this ribosomal RNA (2026 nucleotides) under Haloquadratum walsbyi J07HQW2. RNAcentral describes it as "bacterial LSU rRNA". It matches the Rfam family "Archaeal large subunit ribosomal RNA", at positions 903 to 2973 of the family's 2987-position model. Lineage: Archaea; Methanobacteriati; Methanobacteriota; Halobacteria; Halobacteriales; Haloferacaceae. The record is from RNAcentral.
AAGGCCCAUCGAACUCGGCAACAGCUGGUUCCAGCCGACACAUAUCGAAGUAUGCCCUCAGCCGAGGUAGUCUGCGAGGUAGAGCUACCGAUUGGAUAGUCCGCCUCCGAGAGGAGUCGGCUAUGCUGUCAAACUCCAAACUUGCAGACGCCGCAGACGCUGGGAAUCCGGAUUGCGGGGUAAGCCUGUGAUCCGUGAGGGAGACAACCCAGAGCAAGGUUAAGGUCCCCAAGUGUGGAUUAAGUGCAACUGAAGGUUGUCUCGAGCCCUAAACAGCCGGGAGGUGAGCUUAGAAGCAGCUACCCUCUAAGAAAAGCGUAACAGCUUACCGGCCGAGGUUCGAGGCGCCCAAAAUGAUCGGGGCUCAAAUCCACCACCGAGACCCUGCAAUACUAUUCAACGAGUAACUUCGUAGGCUUGGCGUACUGACCGGACGGAAGUACGGGCGAAAGCUCGUAUGGACCGCUCAGUAACGAUAAUCCUGGUCACAGUAGCAGCAAUAGUCGGGUGUGACCCCCGACGGCCUAACGAGCAAGGGUUCCUCGGCACUGCUAAUCAGCCGAGGGUUAGCCGGUCCUAAGUCUGACCGUAAUUCGACUCAGACAAACAGGGAAACUGGUUAAUAUUCCAGUGCCAUCGUGUACUCUCGAACGCUUUCGGAAACAGUGAGCGGGGCCAUCGCCCCGUCGAAUCAUGGAAUCUCGUGGAUGCCGUAACGGCACGAAGCGAGAGAAUCAUGAGACCGCGCAAGUCACUGGUACCAAGAGCCCGUGAAACAACACACGACGUCCGUACCGAGAUCCGACACAGGUGCUCAGGCAGCGAAAGCCAUGGCCCGUCGGGAUCAACCGGCGUUAGGGAAUUCGGCAAGUUAGUCCCGUACCUUCGGAAGAAGGGAUGCCUGCUCCUGACCGAGCAGGUCGCAGUGACUCGGGCGCUCCGACUGUCUAGUAACAACAUAGGUGACCGCAAAUCCGCAAGGACUCGUACGGUCACUGAAUCCUGCCCAGUGCAGGUAUCUGAACACCUCGUACAAGAGGACGAAGGACCUGUUAACGGCGGGGGUAACUAUGACCCUCUUAAGGUAGCGUAGUACCUUGCCGCUUCAGUAGCGGCUUGCAUGAAUGGAUCAACGAGAGCGCCACUGUCCCAACGCUGGACCCGGUGAACUGUACGUUCCAGUGCGGAGUCUGGAGACCCCCAAGGGGAAGCGAAGACCCUAUAGAGCUUUACUGCAGGCUGUCGCUGAGACAUGGUCGCUGAUGUGCAGCAUAGGUAGGAGCCAUCACACAGGUAUCCGCGCCAGCGGAUCACCGAGGCAAUCAGUGAAAUACUACCCGUCAGUGACUGUGACUCUCACUCCGGGAGGAAAACACCGGUAGCCGGGCAGUUUGACUGGGGCGGUACGCGCUCGAAAAGAUAUCGAGCGCGCCCAAAGGUCUCCUCACGUGAGUCGGAAACUCACAGACGAGCGCAAGAGCACACGGAGGCCUGACAGUGAUCUUCCCAACGAGGAUCGCUGACGCGAAAGCGUGGUCUAGCGAACCAACGAGGUUCAGAGAUGGGACCCGUUGAUGACAGAAAAGCUACCUUAGGGAUAACAGAGUCGUCACUCGCAAGAGCACAUAUCGACCGAGUGGCUUGCUACCUCGAUGUCGGUUCCCUCCAUCCUGCCUGUGCAGACGCAGGCAAGGGUGAGGUUGUUCGCCUAUUAAAGGAGGUCGUGAGCUGGGUUUAGACCGUCGUGAGACAGGUCGGCUGCUAUCUAUUGGGGGUGUAAGGUACUUGCGAGGAACGCUCGUAUAGUACGAGAGGAACUACGAGUGGGUGCCACUGGUGUAUCGGUUGUCCGACAGGGCAGUCGCCGAGCAGCCACGCACCACAGGGUAAGAGCUGAAUGCAUCUAAGCUCGAAACCUCCCUCAAAAAGAAGUACCAGAGAGGAUCCUUCUAAAAGAGAAGGUAGAUAGACUCGGGGUGUACGCAUCGAGGCAACGAGAUGUUGAGCCCGCGAGCACUAACAAUCC